RNAcentral lists this long non-coding RNA (219 nucleotides) under Mytilus galloprovincialis (Mediterranean mussel). Lineage: Eukaryota; Metazoa; Mollusca; Bivalvia; Mytilida; Mytilidae. The record is from RNAcentral.
GCAUUUGAAAGAGUAAACAAAGCGACUUUCAACUCAAAAUGUGCAGAUUUUAAUGCAGAAAUUAAAUGGUUUUGCUCACGAAAUGAAAAGUGUGAAUUCAUUGAAAACAAAUUAAUAUCAUCGCUAGAUCCAUCACUGUUCUCAGAUGGUAUUCACUUCAGUAAUUCUGGAAAGAAAAGUUUAGUGCGAAUAAUCAAGGCCCAUCUUAACCCACACAUU